GAGUUCCCUGAAUUUUUUUUGUAGAAUUCAAAACACUCGUCACGUACCUAAAAAUACCUCAAAAAUUUAAAAUUGAUGUGUAAAACUCUUUUCGGCCAAAUUUGGGGUUUCAGCACGACUGUGCCACCGUGCUCCGACACUUGCUCUGCUGCCACGAUGGCAGUCUACCUCAGCUAGGCUGGAUUUUGGCUAGUUUUGGCCGGCUUUAUAUGUAUCCUUGCGAAAAAAUACGUUAUGAGGUCUUAGU
Molecule: long non-coding RNA, 247 nt
Filed under: Carica papaya (papaya)
Lineage: Eukaryota; Viridiplantae; Streptophyta; Magnoliopsida; Brassicales; Caricaceae
Description: long non-coding RNA (CPAP_LNC002300)
Source: RNAcentral